GUGUCAGCCGCCGCGGUAAUACGUAGGGCGCGAGCGUUGUCCGGAAUCAUUGGGCGUAAAGCGCGUGUAGGCGGCCGAGUAAGUCUGCUGUGAAAGUCCAGGGCUCAACCCUGGGAUGCCGCAGAUACUGCUUGGCUAGAGUACGGGAGGGGCGAGUGGAAUUCCUGGUGUAGCGGUGGAAUGCGCAGAUAUCAGGAGGAACACCUAUGGCGAAGGCAGCUCGCUGGAACGUUACUGACGCUGAGACGCGAAAGCGUGGGGAGCAAACAGGAUUAGAUACCCUCGUAGUCC
RNAcentral lists this ribosomal RNA (291 nucleotides) under uncultured bacterium. RNAcentral's name for it is "partial 16S ribosomal RNA". It matches the Rfam family "Bacterial small subunit ribosomal RNA", at positions 505 to 796 of the family's 1533-position model. The record is from RNAcentral.